This 253-nucleotide ribosomal RNA is filed under the name uncultured bacterium. Its description in RNAcentral is "partial 16S ribosomal RNA". It matches the Rfam family "Bacterial small subunit ribosomal RNA", at positions 524 to 776 of the family's 1533-position model. The record is from RNAcentral.
GACAGAGGGGGCAAGCGUUGCUCGGAAUCACUGGGCGUAAAGGGCGUGUAGGCGGGAAUGUAAGUCGGGCGUGAAAGCCCCAGGCUCAACCUGGGAACUGCACUCGAAACUGCGUUUCUUGAGUAUCGGAGAGGAAAGCGGAAUACCUGGUGUAGAGGUGAAAUUCGUAGAUAUCAGGUGGAACACCAGUGGCGAAGGCGGCUUCCUGGACACCAACUGACGCUGAGACGCGAAAGCGUGGGGAGCAAACAGG